AACCUUAUGGACCUGCGGGCGUAUACCUGCGGAAGGAUCAUUAACCUUUCAAAUCAGGGUGCGGCGCGGCCCCCGAGGAGCGGAAACAAUCCUUGGGAGGUAUGCGGGGGCUUCGAGCCCCCCAUUUACGCACGCACGACUGCCAUCCUUACUUUACGAGCACCUUCUGUUCCCCCUCGGCGGGGCAACCUGCCGUUGGAACCGAAUAAACUCUUUUUGCAUCUAGCAUUACCUGUUCCG
RNAcentral lists this unclassified non-coding RNA (240 nucleotides) under soil metagenome. RNAcentral's name for it is "partial contains 5.8S ribosomal RNA, internal transcribed spacer 2, and large subunit ribosomal RNA". The record is from RNAcentral.